This is a long non-coding RNA of Struthio camelus australis, 2699 nucleotides long. The record is from Ensembl. NCBI's taxonomy places the organism in Eukaryota, Metazoa, Chordata, Aves, Struthioniformes, Struthionidae.
GCCCAGCCUGUAAAUUCAGAAGAUCACCUGGUCGGAGAGAACAUUUCGCCCACACAAUUCACACUCUUCUCACUUCCCCUGUGCUUUAGAACCCCACAUGCUGACAUCCUAUUUGGCCCAGUAAGACAGACAAUAAUAAUGUUUCUGUAUGAAUGUAUGUACAAAAUGUGAACACUCUCCUUAAUAAAUUCCACAGGUUUUAUGGGAGCCAAACCUGAUCCUCAAGCCAUGAAAUCUUCCCCUCUGGCAAAAGGAGAGGCUUUCUUGCAUCGCUAGGUGAUGUGUGUUGUACUGAAUGCUCGUGCCUGAGUUACCAGAACAGUAUUGUGCACCUGUUGACUUCCAUUCAAGAAGGGGAUAAUGAAAGAGUAAGUACAGCUAUCUAUAUUUUCUUGGCAAUGAUUGCUUCCAUAGUAGAGCUCAGUCAACAGCACAAAUAUCUCUUCCUUGACUUCUGUAGUGUAUGUACAGCCUGUAGCAUUCCAGUGUUCUCACUGCUGGUUUUUGUUAUAUUACUGCAUCAUGCUGUAACUGGGGUGCUCAAGAGCAAGCACAUCUCUUUGACUUUUUAAUGCAACUUAGCACAGUCAUUAGUGAAAUGAGAAGGUACAAACUUAACUGGAUGUGUAGUUGUCUGAUCAGCUUCCUUGUGGGUCUAGAAUGGAACUGGGAAAUAUCUAACAUACUUCUAUCUAAUAUACUUCCUAGCUAUUGACUGCUCAGUAUUUUGUGGUCAAAUUCAUAACCCUUGCAUAGCAGGUAAAACCUAUCAAUCAAAUUUAUUCUGUUAAUUUGUAUAGAUUAGUCCAUUAAUGAACAAUAUACAGUAUUGAGCUCUGUCAGCAACUUGCACACCCACAGUACAUCAUGAACUCUUGUAGUUCUACAUAAAACUAGCACCAAGAGGAUCUUCCUUGAUGAGUGAGGAAGUGGCAUGUUCUGUCAUUAGUUUCCUCCUAACGAGAAACAAGUAUCUUCAACCACAUCGUUAGACUCCCACGCCACUGUGGAUAUCAAGAUGUUAAGCUUGGUUUAUUUUAAAGGUCAUCAUGUGAGAUCUAACACACAGCUUCUAAACUAUAAACAAAACAAAACUCCACAAAGGAAAAUAUAUAUUAUCAAGAGUGAGUGAAACUUAAUACCAGUGUCUAAAAAUAGACGCUAGCAUUACUUUUAUGGCUUAAAAGCAUUAGCAGUUAUGCACAGCGUUUGUUUUUGUUGCAAGAUGAAGUUCAGGUUUGUGUGAAGUACAGUUUUAUAAUCUAUUUUAUAGUAACACCUAAAAUAAGCGAAGCGUUAAGGGUAUAUGGAGCAACCACUAUGAAGAAUUUACUGUGUAAGAGAACAAAUGUGAAAGCUAGGGCGACAGGAUAUACAAUAUACAAAGGGUGGGAAGGUGGGGAGGAGCACGAAGCUGACUGACCCAUUUUUCAAAAGAGUAGAGGGGAAGCUGGAGUGCAUCUAGUAGGCUUUUUGUGCUCGCUGUGACACAAGGAGAUGGAUGUGGUGAAGGAGAGACUCAAAGAGUGGACUCAGGUCCUAAUCAUGACAUGGGAGAAAGACAACUUUUAUGUAUAGCAUCUUAGAGAAUGUGUUGCUGGGUGAACUGGUGCAAAGGUAAAAUAGUCAGGGAUCCAGAAGUGGGGUUACAUGAAGCCACAAAACGUCAUGAGGUAAGAUUAUUUACCAUCUCCCUGACUGCUUAAACUGAUGAUUGGUGCACAUCCUGUCUGUGGAGAGGUUCGCCAGCAUUUUGGUCUUUAGAGCUCUUACAGGAUUUUCUUAGAAGAAAACAAUUCUAUUUAUCGUUUCUACUGUCAAACUAAAGGAUGUUCACAUGAGAACUUGCUGCUUCACUUUUUAAGAUAAAGAUAAGGACACGCAGGUAGUAAAAUCACCAGUGCCAAGUGGGAGCUGUCUACAGGCUCUUCUGUUAUAGUUACCUGGCUAAGUUUAUCCUGCAUCCAAGGGAUUGGUGCAGCAAAGCACAGGCUUGAAGACCGACCUAUACCUGCAGCGCAGCACAGCACAAGCCUGUGCCUGCUCAAGUUGACUGUUAUGUGGAUCGCUAACUCCUUGAUGUACAAUAGUCUUCCAGUCAGGAUCACCCACUUCACAUAUAGUGAAAUAGUGACAUAGUUUCUUAUAUUUUAUUCCUAACAACAGAUUAUUCAAAAUGGAGAUAAGCAUUGUUUCAAGUUUUUGCUAGCUGACUGUAAAGCUUUAGAGUGAAUUACAUAUGAAAUACAAAAUGCUGGAUAAAUCAGAUGGAUUAAAGUAACUUAUUUUGGAUCUAAGUUCUCACAAACUUAAAAGCUAUUUAGGCUUGGAAUUUUGCCUCAAGCCUUUUUUCUGUUUGAAAUUUUAAAACUGUGUAUUUAAAAGGAAGGAAUUGGUAUUCAGUACUUCAUGGGGACUGCAUGAGAUUGUUUGUGAAACUUACUAUACUUCUUCUGAGAUGGAGAUGAACCAAAGGAUGCCCAAAAGGGGUACUGAAUGACCAUCAACUAAGGAAGAUGCCAUCUAUCCUUGAUUCUCAUAGGUGUACUAGAAUGACAUUGGCUGUGCUGCCAGUAUAUACUUAGGACUAAUUAUUCAUGAAACAUAUAGCACACACUUCUCAAGAGAUUUUCAAAGCUGCCAACUAAACCACUGUAGCAUUAAAUUCAAAUAAACAUGUCAAAAAUUUCUUUCUUACA